AGUGGCGAACGGGUGAGUAAUACAUCGGAACGUGCCCUGUAGUUGGGGAUAACUAGUCGAAAGAUUAGCUAAUACCGCAUACGACCUGAGGGUGAAAGUGGGGGACCGCAAGGCCUCAUGCUAUAGGAGCGGCCGAUGUCUGAUUAGCUAGUUGGUGAGGUAAAGGCUCACCAAGGCGACGAUCAGUAGCUGGUCUGAGAGGACGAUCAGCCACACUGGGACUGAGACACGGCCCAGACUCCUACGGGAGGCAGCAGUGGGGAAUUUUGGACAAUGGGGGCAACCCUGACCCAGCAAUGCCGCGUGUGUGAAGAAGGCCUUCGGGUUGUAAAGCACUUUUGUCCGGAAAGAAAUCGCACUUACUAAUAUUAGGUGUGGAUGACGGUACCGGAAGAAUAAGGACCGGCUAACUACGUGCCAGCAGCCGCGGUAAUACGUAGGGUCCAAACGUUAAUCGGAAUUACUGGGCGUACAGCGUGCGCAUGCGGUUGUGCAAGACCGAUGUGAAAUCCCCGGGCUUAACCUGGGAAUUGCAUUGGUGACUGCACGGCUAGAGUGUGUCAGAGGGGGGUAGAAUUCCACGUGAAGCAGUGAAAUGCGUAGAGAUGUGGAGGAAUACCGAUGGCGAAGCCAGCCCCCUGGGAUAACACUGACGCUCAUGCACGAAAGCGUGGGGAGCAAACAUGAAUAGAUACCCUGGUAUUCCACGCCCUAAACGAUGUCAACUAGUUGUUGGGGAUUCAUGUCCUUAGUAACGUAGCUAACGCGUGAAGUUGACCGCCUGGGGAGUACGGUCGCAAGAUUAAAAAUCAAAGGAAUUGACGGGGACCCGCACAAGCGGUGGAUGAUGUGGAUAAAUUCGAUGCAACGCGAAAAACCUUACCUACCCUUGACAUGCCACUAACGAAGCAGAGAUGCAUUAGGUGCUCGAAAGAGAAAGUGGACACAGGUGCUGCAUGGCUGUCGUCAGCUCGUGUCGUGAGAUGUUGGGUUAUGUCCCGCAACGAGCGCAACCCUUGUCUCUAGUUGCUACGAAAGGGCAGUCUAGAGAGACUGCCGGUGACAAACCGGAGGAAGGUGGGGAUGACGUCAAGUCCUCAUGGCCCUUAUGGGUAGGGCUUCACACGUUAUACAAUGGUGCAUACAGAGGGUUGCCAAGCCGCGAGGUGGAGCUAAUCCCACACAAUGCAUCGUAGUCCGGAUCGUAGUCUGUCACUCGACUACGUGAAGCUGGAAUCGCUA
RNAcentral lists this ribosomal RNA (1242 nucleotides) under uncultured bacterium. RNAcentral describes it as "bacterial SSU rRNA". It matches the Rfam family "Bacterial small subunit ribosomal RNA", at positions 94 to 1337 of the family's 1533-position model. The record is from RNAcentral.